This is a non-coding RNA of Podarcis lilfordi (Lilford's wall lizard), 75 nucleotides long. NCBI's taxonomy places the organism in Eukaryota, Metazoa, Chordata, Lepidosauria, Squamata, Lacertidae. The record is from the annotation of a GenBank genome assembly.
UGACAUGGCUCAGUUGGUAGAGCCUGAGACUCUUAAUCUCAGGAUCGUGGGUUUGAGUUCCACAUUGGGGGAAAA